RNAcentral lists this long non-coding RNA (6812 nucleotides) under Sus scrofa (pig). Its description in RNAcentral is "lncRNA (ENSSSCG00000062767.1)". The record is from RNAcentral. Lineage: Eukaryota; Metazoa; Chordata; Mammalia; Artiodactyla; Suidae.
GGCGACCUCAUGGAACCCUGAUGCGCCCCUAGGCAGAAAGCUGGGGGCCAGGAGGCUGAGCCCCUCGCUCAGAUCUAAAUGGUGGCACCUGAACCAGACUAGCCAGCGUCCUCAACCCUGGACCCUUCCCUCUGCCCACUGCUGUGUUCGGGGCCUCGGGCAGACAGCCCAUUAGAGGGAGCAGCUGUCACUGUUGGGAGGGAAACAGCCGAGACUGUGGAGUCGCAGAAGCGAGAAGGUACGGUUUGUGGCUUGGCCUGGGACUGCUGUGCUGCUCGACGAGAGAGGCCGGGCGGGCUGCCUGGACGGUGGGCCACCCGGGGCCUGACCUGGGGUGGCUCCCUGGGGACCUUACUGGGGUGGGGGACCACACCCAUCCUCUCCCUCCCUCUUGGCCUUCCUGGAGGACGUCCCCACAGCUGCUGACCUGCCCCGUCUGCCUUGACUCCUGUCCCUGCCGCACCCGACCGUCCCGAGCUCUUCCGGUUCUGCAGUCUUGCAGCAUAUUUCUCCGGCCCGGCCCGGAACCUGCCCUCGCUCAGGCCUCCGCCCCGUCUGCCACCUUGCGGGGCUCCCCUCCAGCUCCUGGCUGAAGUCCAGUCUCCAUGGGACUCGAGAGGCCCCCACCAGCCUGCCCUGCCCACCCCCAUGGCGCCAGCCUCUACCUCUCCAGAUGGCCGCACAGAGUCACCUCCUCCUGGAAGCCCUCCCUGCCCUACAGGCGCAUUGCCCUCGGAGACUGGGCGCCCCGGGAGGGACAGGCCACGAGGAGCAGCCUGGCACAGGGCAGGCUCUGGGAGAACGCUUUGUGAAUGAACGAAAUAGGAUCCAGAGAAUGAAGUGGAAGACGAGAAGGCCUCGCACCAAACCCUGGCCUCCGCACGGCAGCACGAGCCACCAGGCUGGCCGCAGCGCCCGCCAUCCAGGCACUCGGGGAAACACGUGGAUAGAGUUUAUGCCUCCGCCUCCACCACGUACACUCCCUGUUAGGACACAUCCGAGGGGCUUGUGAAACCACACCUCAUCACCGACGGCGUGGUGUCCCCGACAGACGACAGAAGGCCCCGAGCUUUGAACGCCCGCAGCCCCGGAGGGCAGGCUGCAGGAUGACGCCAGGCAGAGGGAAAACCAGGCUGCUUCCCAGGGGUCCCAGCAGGAGGACCGGCUAGUAGAGGUGCCCGUGGGAGGCUGGGGGGCCUUCACCUCUCAGAUCACUGGGCGUGAGAGGCAGGGCUCCGUCAGCCCAUCCAGUGUCAUGGGUGGGUCUCUGUAAAUUGAGAUUAGCUGUUUCCAGUUCACAGAUGUCCUGCCUGGUCCUGCUCCCACAUUGUUGCAGCUCUCGGGGAGCUCUUCCUCCAGGGGGUGAUCACAAACUGUGCGGCCCCCUCUCCUCCCCUCCCCCGCAGUGGCCGGUGGUGCCAGGUCAGCCCUGCCCAGCCACGGGGUGGGACCUCUGCAGUCCGUCCACCGUCCACGGCUUGGUGAUGGACAAGGAUGUCCACCAUCCUGCCGGGAAUCCUGCAUCUUUGUCCAGCUGAGGCAGGGCCGGCGCAGCUUCCAUUCCAUUCCCGCCUUAACGGUGUACUUUGGGGCCAUCAGCGCAGACGCGCGGGCUGGGGCCUCCAUCGCAUCUCUGGUUCUGCUGCGAGAUCUGGGGCUGGUCCCUCCCUUGCCGGGGACCUUGGUUUUGCUCCCACCACCCCGUCUCUGACUUUGGGUGGGUGGGCCUCGGGGAGGUUCCAAGAGGCCAGGUUGGGGGUGGCUGCUUCCGACGUGUGAACGUGCUCCUGGACUUGGAGCUGGGCCCCACUGCUGGGGUCUCCCUGGGGGAGCCAGGAAAGCUGUACGCAAAGAAACGAGAGGUCCACCCUGUUGCUCUUCCCAGGGCGGGAACUGCCCCAGCCCUUCUCCGGAGCGUGGCUGGGUGGUUAAGAAGCUGUGAUAAGGCCACUUGGGGGGAAGCGUCUGUGGUGCUUCAGCAGGACCCACGGGGUUUCCAUCUGCGUGGGCAUCGGCUCUGGGGAAGGCGGAAGCCCCUCUGGGAGGGGAGCCCCGGGCCCUGGGCUCAGGAGGACGCGCCUGCCUUUGCUGCCUCUUUAUCCUUUUCCCUGGUGUGUUUAAGGAGCAUCUCUUCCUUUUGCAAUGGAAACAAGAAAUCAUUUAAAUUACAAAAUUAAGCGCCUGGCCAGAGCGAAACUGACCCGCCGGAAAUUCUCACUGCAUGUUCACCCCAAAAGAGAGACCUUACAAAAGGGGGAGACGCAUUUUGUCCCUUUAAAGGAGCAGAGGUGACUUGAGGGGAAGGGGGGGUGCUCUUUGGAUGGGGGAUGGGGCACCCCCACCCCCAGCCCCAGACGCGGCGGGGCUGCAGCUCUGAGGCAGGGCCCAUCCUUAUGUCUGUUUUUUUUUUUUUUUUUGGCUUUUUAGGGUCACAUAUGGAGGUUCCUGGGCUAGGAGUCGAAUCGGAGCUACAGCUGCCCGGCCUACACCACAGCCACAGCAACGCCAGAUCCGCGCCGCAUCUGCGACCUACACCACAGCUCACGGCAACACCAGAUCCUUAACCCACUGAGCGAGGCCAGGGAUUGAACCUGCAUCCUCGUGGAUCCUAGUCGGGUUCUUUACUGCUGAGCCACGACGGGAACUCCCUUAUGUCUGCUUCGAAUUGAUGCCUGAGAGAAAAUCUGUAGGGAAAGCAGGCCUCUGUGCUGCUGGGAACCAGAGCCGUUAGUUUGCUGUUACAGAUCCUCUGCCCGUGGGCAACAAACCCCACUUGGCAGAUGCGCGUCUGGCCUCGGCUUGCUUUUCUGGAGCCGACUUGGUGACGACCUGGUGUUAGCGACUGCCUUUUGUGGGCACCUACUGUGUGCCCGCCCCGCCACUCAGGAUCCACGUUAAUUCAUCUUCCCUGAUACCCACUUCGGAUGUUAGGGUGUAAACGACCCCUUUUUAAGGUACCAAACCCAGGUUCAGGCCAGGUUCCUGAAGUCCGCGCAGCCUGGAAGGUUCUCUGUGGCCUGUUCGGCUCUGGAGCCCGGGCCUCUCCCCGGGGCUGGCAGCGGUGCCCCAGAGGCUGUGUCCUUGGGCAUUUGAGCUGGUCUGCACGCUGGCCGCACCGCCUGCCCCGGUAGCCAUCGGCUCCCCCGCGUCCCUGCUGGAGCGCUUCCGGCCGGCUUCUAGCCCCUCCUGACCUGUCUGGGGCCCCUCCAAGCGCUUGGGGCCUAGCCGGGCAUCCCCAGGGCCAGGCGUCAGCGCUUCCCGGGGCAGGUCUGUGUGUAACUGGGGUGCUCUGGGCACGACUCCUUGGCUUUUGCAGGGAGGAUGUUUCUCCUCCACGUGAGCUCUUAGAGGGACCACCUUGAAUGCUGAAAACAAGUGUGGACACAGCAGGGCUGAGCCCCUGGGGGUCUCUGUGCCAGCGGGUUUGGGCCUUGCAGCUUGGCCGACGUCGGAGUUCCUGCUGGCAGCUCAGCGCCUCCUGCCCUCGGCUGGGGAGGUGGCCGGUGGUCGGACGAGGCUGGGAGAAAGGUCUGUGGCCCUGGAGUGUCGGGGAUUUCUGUGGCCUGGAAGCCCCUGGGGGCUGGCCGAGGGCACUGCCGUCCCCCGAGCCCCCUGUGCCUCGUGCCUCACCUCUGACCAUGUGUGUAAAUCCCAGGAGACCAGUGUCACUGUCCCCUUGUCACGGAGAAGCUGGAGGCCCGGAGAGGGGACGGGGCUUGUCCAGGGUCACGAGGUCGGGCUGAGCGGGGGUCCCAGCUGCCCCCCGGCCACCCUGCUAAUGGACACAGGCGUGUCCUAGAGGCCAGGGAUCCCUGUGGGCAAGGAGGGGCCUGGGCAUGGUGGGGUCAGCCUCCGGGGCUUCCCGCUGGGCCCAGUCCUGGUUCUGCAGACUCCGCCGGCCUCCGUGGGCCAGAGCCUUGCGGAGGACAGAACCGUGUCAGGGCGGCCCUGUCGUGUGAGGGACCACACCUGGGGCAGGGCUGAGCCAUGCUGCCCGCAGUGCCCCUGGGGCUGGGACGAGGGCGUGGCAUCGGGAGCCAGCCUCGAGCUUGGGCCAUUUGCUCCCUGUCACCUGGAAUGCUCACCACAGCGCUGUCCCCACAUCACGGGGGAGGAAGCUGGACCAGAGACGGCAGUCCCGUGCCUGGAGCCACAUAGCAAGCAGAGGCAGCGGGUCUGGCCGAGGCCCCCUCCCUUCCCCUCCCGCCACAAGCCAUCUCAUGGAUCCUGGGACAUGGGGGCUUGUGUCCCCGGAUCACGGCAGUUAGGGGUUCACUGGUGACCCUGAGGCAGGCCCCUGGGUGCACUCGCAGGACAGUUUCAGAGGCUCCGAGGGCAAGUCACGCGCCACGUGUCCAGCCAGGAGACGCGGCCACUGGAAGCAGGCCUGGAGCUCGGGCUACCCGGGCGCCUCUGUGCCAAGCUCCAGGCAGAGCCUCCACUGCUGGGAGCCCAGCAGUCACUCUGCUUGGUGCCCCCUCGGUGGCUGUUGGGCACCCGAGUAGGUGAGGGGUUACGGGGAAAGCGAGUGAAUGAGGGGCACGGAGGUGGGCGUCCCCUAGGCACUGCUGCGAGGUCGGCCCCUUAGCGGCGGAGGGAGCGCCCCUCCUGGACACAGGACAGCGAUGCAGGCCGGCAGCAGCCAGGCCAGGGCUGACCUCGCCCCAGCUACUCUGGGAACGUGCACAGGCUCUGGGGCGCGGACUCUGUGGUCCCCACCCCGCGGUCCUGGAAGCAAAGGCCAGGAGAGGCGCUAGGCGGUGAGUGAGGAGGGGGCAGCAGGGUCAGACCCCACGCCGUGUGCAGAUGGGGGGCUGGGCUCCCAGGUUCCUGAUUCUGUUUCCCAAGAGGGGAGACCUUGGCACAGCCUCUGAGGCAUCAAGCAGAGGUGGGCACAGGGCUGGCUGCAGGCGCGACCCAGCCUUUGGAGCAGGGGGCCCAGGCGCAUCCUUGGGGACCCCCACAGGUCCCUGUGGCCUCUGCGGGCCUUAGGAGUUUCAUAGGACCCCCAGAGUAGACAGGAACCUGGAGAUGCUGCCCAGGGGAGUGUGCUGACCGCUCCCUGCCCAUGUCCACAUGGCUCUCACCCGUCCAUUGGGAGUUCCAACCCAGUGCUCCGGUGACAGGGCUAUGCUCCUAGGGGGACCGAGGGUCUGUGGGAGCCGCACGCCUGCCCUGGGAGGCAAGUUGGGGGGACUAACACGCUCCAGGGAUGUGGUGCCUGGACCCCCCUUCCUCCCAGCCACCCCUCAUGCUGGCCUGGGGCAGAGGCUCGGGAGAGGAGGGAGCCCGGGUGUGCCCCCAAUCUGAGUCUGGCCCAAGCCCAGCAGAGUUCCCAGCCGUGGCCAAUCACUCCUCGGCCUGGAUUUGCUGUUCCUUUUUCCCAAACGACAAGCUUUCCUGCUUUGGGGGAGCCUGUGCACCUUAAACAGCCUGAGCUCCAGGCGGGGCAGGAGCCGAGACCAGGCUUGGCACUGCCGUGGGCCGAAUGCUGGCUUCGGGGCCUUCGCUAAGCCCUCGGGGCCUCCGUGUUCUGGGGCAGCUGGUUCUGGGGUGUCCUCUCACUGGCUCAUUCGGGAAAGACCCAAGGUGACAUCUGCACCCUUAGUCCUGCCUAGCAGGCCUGGUUCCAAGAGAAAAUAGGACACGUCCUUGCUUCCCAGCUGCCUGAGAGGUGGUCGCUGCCUCGGAGCCGCCAGCCUGUGGGGAGACAGGCAGUACCAGCACCCGUGAGCGGGUGUUAAACUCCGUCUCUUGCUAGAGCUGACCUACGGCUCCCGAUUCAGGAGGUUCCCCAGAGGAGGUGAUCUGAAGGAUGGGUAGGAAUUAGGCCUUGAAUGGCCGGAGAACAUUCCGGACCCAGGGAGUGGGGCCAGGCAGGGCUGGAGCGGAGGGGCUGGGGCUGGGGCUGGGGCCCCACGAGGCGGUGACCUUGGUCUGCCCGGAGCAGGUGCCGCGAGCCCCAUCAGCGCCCUUGCGCCGCAGGCACUGGAGGAUGCGCACGGCUAGGCUGCCAGGGAGCGGCACUUGGGGCUGCGGGAGUGUGAGUCUGGCCCCGGGGACAUCGCCGUCCUUUGCCUCUGACCAAGGUCCUUGCUAACCUCCGGGGGCCGAGGCACCUCGUCUGCAGCCCCUGGCGGGCUGCACCCACCCGCAGGUGGCUGUGAGGGGGGCCUCACGGAGCCCCCCCUGUGCUCGGGGCAUGGGUCACAGCCUGCUGCGCCAACACCUUGGUCACUUUGUUUCUUGCAGAAGGCGGCUGGUCCCAGAGCAUCUCGGAGAAAGCGGACGCCUGUCUUGGCCUUUGGAAGACGCUCAAGGACCACGUGGCCGGGUCCACGGUCUCUGCCCUGCGCCUCGAGGGCGAGGCAGCCCAGGUGCGUGGCCUGACCCGAUGGGCAGCGUGGACCCGUCCCUCAGGAGACCCCGGCCGCUUCCCCACAGGCCCCGCCCUCCCCGGGUCCCCGAGGGCGGGCUCAGCCUGGCACCCCCGCAAGUAGAAGAGAUCCCACCUCAUGACCAAGAGCGAGGGAGCUGAGCAAGAGACGCCCUGGCCUCUGUGGCCCCCUCGAGCCCUGCCACCCCCCCCGUGGCCUGAUCGUGGCACCGGCUGGCCUCCUCGAAGCGCGUGGAAUCAACGAGGCCCGCGUGGGCUGAGUUGUUGGCAGGGAGACUCCUCUGAGCCAGCUCGGCCUGUCACUGCCCGCAGCCAUGCCAAGCUGGGGCACAGUCAGCCCCCGGCCCAUGAGUUGUCUUGCUGGACAGGCUGCCUUGGUGCCCUGAGCCUCGGGCUGCCUGUACGACUCAGGCAG